ACUUUCUCGAAAGAGAAAAGUGCCGCAAGGAACUCAGUGACAGGUGGUGCACGGUCGUCGUCAGCUCGUGCCUUGAGGUGUACUGUUAAGUCAGCAAACGAGCGCAACCUUCGUCCCAUGUUGUUAUCUCAUGGGAGACUGCCGCCUCCAAGGCGGAGGAAGGUGGGGAUGACGUCAGAUCUGCGUGUCCCUUAUGUCUAGGGCAACACCCGUGCUACAAUGGCCGGUACAAAGGGCAGCGAACCCGUAAGGGGGAGCAAAUCCCACAAAGCUGGUCUCAGUUCGGAUUGAAGUCUGCAACUCGACUUUAUGAAGUUGGAAUCGCUAGUAAUCGCGUAUCAGAAUGACGCGGUGAAUACGUUCCCGGGCCUUGUACACACCGCCCGUCACACCAUGGGAGUGGGUUGCUCCAGAAGUGGAUAGUCUAACCUUCGGGAGGGCGCUUACCACUUUGUGAUUCAUGACUGGGGUGAAGUCGUAACAA
Molecule: ribosomal RNA, 484 nt
Filed under: uncultured bacterium
Lineage: Bacteria
Description: bacterial SSU rRNA
Rfam family: Bacterial small subunit ribosomal RNA
Source: RNAcentral